ACUGAGUGGCGGACGGGUGAGUAACGCGUGGGUAACCUGCCCUGUACAGGGGGACAACAGUUAGAAAUGACUGCUAAUACCGCAUAAGCGCACAGGACCGCAUGGUCCGGUGUGAAAAACUCCGGUGGUACAGGAUGGACCCGCGUCUGAUUAGGUAGUUGGCGGGGUAACGGCCCACCAAGCCGACGAUCAGUAGCCGACCUGAGAGGGUGAUCGGCCACAUUGGGACUGAGACACGGCCCAAACUCCUACGGAAGGCAGCAG
This 264-nucleotide ribosomal RNA is filed under the name uncultured bacterium. Its description in RNAcentral is "partial 16S ribosomal RNA". It matches the Rfam family "Bacterial small subunit ribosomal RNA", at positions 90 to 354 of the family's 1533-position model. The record is from RNAcentral.